UACGAAGGGUGCAAGCGUUACUCGGAAUUACUGGGCGUAAAGGGCGCGUAGGCGGCCGGGCAAGUCUGGUGUGAAAGCCCAGGGCUCAACCCUGGAAGGGCACUGGAAACUGUCUGGCUUGAGUUCCGGAGAGGAGGGGGGAAUUCCCGGUGUAGCGGUGAAAUGCGUAGAUAUCGGGAGGAAUACCGGUGGCGAAGGCGCCCCUCUGGACGGGUACUGACGCUGAGGCGCGAAAGCGUGGGGAGCAAACAGG
This 253-nucleotide ribosomal RNA is filed under the name uncultured microorganism. RNAcentral's name for it is "partial 16S ribosomal RNA". It matches the Rfam family "Bacterial small subunit ribosomal RNA", at positions 524 to 776 of the family's 1533-position model. The record is from RNAcentral.